GCUUCCUACGGGACGCAGCAGUAGGGAAUAUUGCUCAAUGGGGGAAACCCUGAAGCAGCAACGCCGCGUGGAGGAUGAAGGUUUUCGGAUUGUAAACUCCUUUUGUUAGAGAAGCUAAUGACGGUAUCUAACGAAUAAGCACCGGCUAACUCCGUGCCAGCAGCCGCGGUAAUACGGAGGGUGCAAGCGUUACUCGGACUCACUGGGCGUAACGCGCGCGUCGGCGGGCUAGCCAGUCCGCUGU
RNAcentral lists this ribosomal RNA (244 nucleotides) under uncultured bacterium. RNAcentral describes it as "partial 16S ribosomal RNA". It matches the Rfam family "Bacterial small subunit ribosomal RNA", at positions 334 to 595 of the family's 1533-position model. The record is from RNAcentral.